AUUUUCUAUUUUUUUAAGAGAAUAAAAAAGUUAAAUCUUUAAUGACACAUGUAAACAUCUGAUCGUUUGAAUUGACACGUGGCACGAUCCUAUGAAUUAGUACCUUUGAAAACUAUACUUUAUAUAAUAUCUCAAAAUAUUCUAUUUUCACUUAUGAUUACAUGAGUUAAAAUUCUUAGAAUAAAACAUAGGUAUAGUAACACAUCAAAGGAUGCAAGACGCUCCAUCAUACGAUGUAUGAUGCCUUAAAAUUCUUAGAAUAAAACAUACGUAUUCGAAAAUUUAUUCUUUUUA
Molecule: small RNA, 294 nt
Filed under: Arabidopsis thaliana (thale cress)
Lineage: Eukaryota; Viridiplantae; Streptophyta; Magnoliopsida; Brassicales; Brassicaceae
Description: ATSL047220
Source: RNAcentral